GACGAACGCUGGCGGCGUGCUUAACACAUGCAAGUCGAACGGAAAGGCCCUGCUUUUGUGGGGUGCUCGAGUGGCGAACGGGUGAGUAACACGUGAGUAACCUGCCCUUGACUUUGGGAUAACUUCAGGAAACUGGGGCUAAUACCGGAUAGGAGCUCCUGUUGCAUGGUGGGGGUUGGAAAGUUUCGGCGGUUGGGGAUGGACUCGCGGCUUAUCAGCUUGUUGGUGGGGUAGUGGCUUACCAAGGCUUUGACGGGUAGCCGGCCUGAGAGGGUGACCGGCCACAUUGGGACUGAGAUACGGCCCAGACUCCUACGGGAGGCAGCAGUGGGGAAUAUUGCACAAUGAGCGGAAGCCUGAUGCAGCAACGCCGCGUGCGGGAUGACGGCCUUCGGGUUGUAAACCGCUUUCGCCUGUGACGAAGCGUGAGUGACGGUAAUGGGUAAAGAAGCACCGGCUAACUACGUG
Molecule: ribosomal RNA, 468 nt
Filed under: uncultured bacterium
Lineage: Bacteria
Description: partial 16S ribosomal RNA
Rfam family: Bacterial small subunit ribosomal RNA
Source: RNAcentral